CAGGUAGAGAAUACCAAGGCGCUUGAGAGAACUCGGGUGAAGGAACUAGGCAAAAUGGUACCGUAACUUCGGGAGAAGGUACGCUCCUCGCGGUGAUGAGACUUGCUCUCUAAGCUGCUGGGAGUCGCAGAUACCAGGUGGCUGCAACUGUUUAUUAAAAACACAGCACUGUGCAAAAUCGAAAGAUGACGUAUACGGUGUGACGCCUGCCCGGUGCCGGAAGGUUAAUUGAUGGGGUUAGACUUCGGUCGAAGCUCUUGAUCGAAGCCCCGGUAAACGGCGGCCGUAACUAUAACGGUCCUAAGGUAGCGAAAUUCCUUGUCGGGUAAGUUCCGACCUGCACGAAUGGCGUAAUGAUGGCCACGCUGUCUCCACCCGAGACUCAGUGAAAUUGAAAUCGCAGUGAAGAUGCUGUGUACCCGCGGCUAGACGGAAAGACCCCGUGAACCUUUACUACAGCUUGGCACUGAACAUUGACCCUACAUGUGUAGGAUAGGUGGGAGCCUUUGAAGCAUUGUCGCUAGAUGAUGUGGAGGCAAUCUUGAAAUACCACCCUUGUAUGCUUGAUGUUCUAACGUCGCCCCCUUAUCGGGGGUGCGGACAGUGCCUGGUGGGUAGUUUGACUGGGGCGGUCUCCUCCCAAAGAGUAACGGAGGAGCACGAAGGUGGGCUAAUCACGGUCGGACAUCGUGAGGUUAGUGCAAUGGCAUAAGCCGCUUGACUGCGAGAAUGACAAUUCGAGCAGGUGCGAAAGCAGGUCAUAGUGAUCCGGUGGUUCUGAAUGGAAGGGCCAUCGCUCAACGGAUAAAAGGUACUCCGGGGAUAACAGGCUGAUACCGCCCAAGAGUUCAUAUCGACGGCGGUGUUUGGCACCUCGAUGUCGGCUCAUCACAUCCUGGGGCUGAAGUCGGUCCCAAGGGUAUGGCUGUUCGCCAUUUAAAGUGGUACGCGAGCUGGGUUUAGAACGUCGUGAGACAGUUCGGUCCCUAUCUGCCGUGGGCGUUAGAUGAUUGAGAGGGGCUGCUCCUAGUACGAGAGGACCGGAGUGGACGAACCGCUGGUGUUCGGGUUGUUAUGCCAAUAGCAUUGCCCGGUAGCUACGUUCGGAAUCGAUAAGCGCUGAAAGCAUCUAAGCGCGAAGCGAGCCUCAAGAUGAGUCAUCUCUAGACCUUUAAGGUCUCUAAAGGGUUGUCGAAGACUACGACGUUGAUAGGCAGGGUGUGUAAGUGCUGCGAGGCAUUGAGCUAACCUGUACUAAUUGCCCGUGAGGCUUAACCAUACAACACCCAAGGGGUUU
This 1297-nucleotide ribosomal RNA is filed under the name Photobacterium sanguinicancri. RNAcentral's name for it is "bacterial LSU rRNA". It matches the Rfam family "Bacterial large subunit ribosomal RNA", at positions 1668 to 2925 of the family's 2925-position model. Lineage: Bacteria; Pseudomonadati; Pseudomonadota; Gammaproteobacteria; Vibrionales; Vibrionaceae. The record is from RNAcentral.